RNAcentral lists this ribosomal RNA (144 nucleotides) under uncultured bacterium. RNAcentral describes it as "partial 16S ribosomal RNA". It matches the Rfam family "Bacterial small subunit ribosomal RNA", at positions 349 to 507 of the family's 1533-position model. The record is from RNAcentral.
CAGCAGUGAGGAAUAUUGCACAAUGGGAGAAAGCCUGAUGCAGCAACGCCGCGUGAGCGAUGAAGCCCUUGGGGUCGUAAAGCUCUGUCCUUGGGGAAGAAAAAAAUGACGGUACCCUUGGAGGAAGCCCCGGCUAACUACGUG